GAGUGACUGCCGGUGACAAACCGGAGGAAGGUGGGGAUGACGUCAAAUCAUCAUGCCCCUUAUGACCUGGGCUACACACGUACUACAAUGGCCGGUACAACGGGAAGCGAAGCCGCGAGGUGGAGCCAAUCCCAGCAAAGCCGGUCUCAGUUCGGAUUGCAGGCUGCAACUCGCCUGCAUGAAGUCGGAAUUGCUAGUAAUCGCGGAUCAGCAUGCCGCGGUGAAUACGUUCCCGGGUCUUGU
Molecule: ribosomal RNA, 243 nt
Filed under: Paenibacillus agri
Lineage: Bacteria; Bacillati; Bacillota; Bacilli; Caryophanales; Paenibacillaceae
Description: Bacterial small subunit ribosomal RNA
Rfam family: Bacterial small subunit ribosomal RNA
Source: Rfam by way of RNAcentral